Molecule: ribosomal RNA, 253 nt
Filed under: uncultured bacterium
Lineage: Bacteria
Description: partial 16S ribosomal RNA
Rfam family: Bacterial small subunit ribosomal RNA
Source: RNAcentral
UACGUAGGGUGCGAGCGUUGUCCGGAAUUACUGGGCGUAAAGAGCUCGUAGGUGGUUUGUCGCGUUGUUCGUGAAAACCGGGGGCUUAACCCUCGGCGUGCGGGCGAUACGGGCAGACUUGAGUACUGCAGGGGAGAAUGGAAUUCCUGGUGUAGCGGUGAAAUGCGCAGAUAUCAGGAGGAACACCGGUGGCGAAGGCGGUUCUCUGGGCAUGACCUGACGCUGAGGAGCGAAAGUGUGGGGAGCGAACAGG